CCUACGGGAGGCAGCAGUAAGGAAUAUUGGUCAAUGGACGCAAGUCUGAACCAGCCAUGCCGCGUGCAGGAUGACGGCCCUCUGGGUUGUAAACUGCUUUUAUACGGGAAGAAACCUCUGGUUGCGAUCAGAGCUGACGGUACCGUAAGAAUAAGGACCGGCUAACUUCGUGCCAGCAGCCGCGGUAAUACGAAGGGUCCAAGCGUUAUCCGGAUUUAUUGGGUUUAAACGGGUGCGUAGGCGGCUUAUUAAGUCAGUGGUGAAACGACUUCAGCUUAACUGAAGAACUGCCAUUGGUACUGAUGAGCUUGAAUAUACUUGAGGUGGGCGGAAUGUGUCAUGUAGCGGUGAAAUGCUUAGAUAUGACACAGAACACCGAUUGCGAAGGCAGCUCGCUAAAGUAUGAUUGACGCUGAUGCACGAAAGCGUGGGGAGCAAACAGGAUUAGAUACCCUGGUAGUCCACGCCCUAAACCGUUGAUAACUCGAUGUGUGCGAUAUACAGUACGCGUCCAAGCGAAAGCAUUAAGUUAUCCNCCGNGGAGUACGUCGNGAGAGUAGAACGACGAAGAGUAGNGNGNGAGAGNGCGAGGACGACGACGAGGGGAGGAGG
RNAcentral lists this ribosomal RNA (612 nucleotides) under uncultured bacterium. RNAcentral's name for it is "bacterial SSU rRNA". The stretch from base 1 to 538 matches the Rfam family "Bacterial small subunit ribosomal RNA", at positions 338 to 873 of the family's 1533-position model. The record is from RNAcentral.